This is an RNA transcript of Apodemus sylvaticus (European woodmouse), 2204 nucleotides long. It is a transcript of the gene named syntaxin 1A, with no coding region annotated. The record is from RefSeq and is a predicted model, not a curated record. The transcript has 10 exons. NCBI's taxonomy places the organism in Eukaryota, Metazoa, Chordata, Mammalia, Rodentia, Muridae.
AUCCGCGCAUGCGGGGCUUACUCAGUUGCAGCCGGCGCCUACUGCCACUCCCGGGAGCAUGAAGGACCGAACCCAGGAGCUCCGCACGGCCAAGGACAGCGAUGACGACGACGAUGAUGUCACCGUCACCGUGGACAGAGACCGCUUCAUGGAUGAGUUCUUUGAACAGGUGGAAGAGAUUCGGGGCUUCAUUGACAAGAUUGCCGAAAACGUGGAGGAGGUGAAGCGGAAACACAGCGCCAUCCUGGCCUCCCCAAACCCCGAUGAGAAGACCAAGGAGGAACUGGAAGAGCUCAUGUCGGACAUUAAGAAGACAGCGAACAAGGUUCGAUCCAAGCUAAAGAGCAUCGAGCAGAGCAUCGAGCAGGAGGAAGGUCUGAACCGCUCAUCAGCCGACCUGAGGAUCCGGAAGACGCAGCACUCCACGCUGUCCCGAAAGUUUGUGGAGGUCAUGUCCGAGUACAACGCCACCCAGUCAGACUACCGAGAACGCUGCAAAGGGCGCAUCCAGAGGCAACUGGAGAUCACCGGCCGGACCACGACUAGUGAGGAGUUGGAAGACAUGCUGGAGAGUGGGAAUCCUGCCAUCUUUGCCUCUGGGAUCAUCAUGGAUUCCAGCAUCUCGAAGCAGGCCCUCAGUGAGAUCGAGACCAGACACAGCGAGAUUAUCAAGUUGGAGAACAGCAUCCGGGAACUUCAUGACAUGUUCAUGGACAUGGCCAUGCUGGUGGAGAGCCAGGAGACUGUCCCGAACCCCGACCCUGCGCUCCCUCCUGGUCCUGAGGAGGGAGGCCUGGACCUUGGGUACCCCUGGUCCUGCAGGGGGAGAUGAUUGACAGGAUCGAGUACAAUGUGGAGCACGCUGUGGACUACGUGGAGAGGGCUGUGUCAGACACCAAGAAGGCCGUCAAGUACCAGAGCAAGGCGCGCAGGAAGAAGAUCAUGAUCAUCAUUUGCUGUGUGAUUCUGGGCAUCGUCAUCGCCUCCACCAUCGGGGGCAUCUUUGGAUAGAAACCACCCCUCGCACUGCUCCAUUCUGGAUGGGUCUCCCUGAGGAGGCCCCUGGCUGCUGCACCUAGCUGGGUUGCCCCUCCCCACUCCUGCCUUCUGGCUGGGAGUCCUUUACCCUCCCAUCCAACACUGCCCCCUCUCUGCCAUGAGACUCCCGUCCCCACCACCCUGCCCCAAGCCGUGUCGUGUGCAUGAUCUUGUGACAGUGUGUGUCUGUACAGGAGGCAGAGGGGAACAGGAUUGGGAACAGCCAGAGGGGCUGCGUACAGGCCAAUGCGGGCAAGACUCGGGCCCUGGCCAGGUCCGCCUUUCUUCAGGCCUGGGGUCUGCUCCUCCCUGGCACUCAGGCUCCUUUCUGGACCCCAACCUUGCCCUCACCUGCCCUGCCCUCUGGCCCCUCCAGCUCUCCUCACCAUGCCAAGGCACCUGGAGGGUGGGGACCAGCUGGUCACAUGGUGCUGCUUUUCAGGUUAGGGGUGGGGCUAGCUCAGCGCUGAGUCCUUGGUAGCUGUCCACUGGCAGGAGGCUCAGGGUGCCACGGCUGCUGGUGUGCUAGGAGCACCCAGUACCCCUUCUUUGGGCAAAACCUGACAAUGUCUCUGGCCUCAGCUGCCCUUACCACAGCCCUGGGAGUCAUGUUCCUGGGCUUUCCUAAGAGGCGUACCGUCUCCAGCCUUGCUUCGAGCUGCAGAGGUGGAGCAGGCCAUAGUCUCUAACGGGCAUGUUAAGUUGUGACCAGAGUUGCAUGUUGGGGACAGUGGUUCCCAUGCUCUGAAAAGCCAGGUGUCACUUUGGGCCUGCAGGCUCACCCUGUCCCCCAGUCUCCCAUUGAUGUGCCACGUGGUGUCAGGUGUACUGGAUGCAGUAUUCAGCAGCCAGCUGGGGAGGGGGCUCCCCACUUCCUUCCCCUGCCAUCUUGGGGCUUCUCGGAGUCAAGACUGUACCCCCUGCCCCAGGACCCCUCUCUCGUCCACAGGCAAGGAGAAUGCAUGCGAGUGCAUGCAGCGGGGCUGGGGCCGUGUCCAUGUGCCCCCUUUCCCCCAGCUUUGCUCCUGCCCGGUGACUGUGACCACUGUCCGUGCUGCCUUCUCUCACGGCCACCCCCACCCCCUUUAUCCCUUCACCAAAGGUCUUGGUACAACCAGCUGCCCAUUUUGUGAGAUUUUUAUGUAGAAUAAACAUUUGUAUCUGUA